RNAcentral lists this unclassified non-coding RNA (498 nucleotides) under uncultured fungus. RNAcentral's name for it is "partial contains small subunit ribosomal RNA, internal transcribed spacer 1, and 5.8S ribosomal RNA". The stretch from base 450 to 498 matches the Rfam family "5.8S ribosomal RNA", at positions 1 to 49 of the family's 154-position model. Lineage: Eukaryota; Fungi. The record is from RNAcentral.
UCAAACUUGGUCAUUUAGAGGAAGUAAAAGUCGUAACAAGGUUUAUUCACCUAUCUGGAAGCCUUGAAUUGAAGAGUCUGCAUCUUUGCGGGCAACAUCAGCCUGUUGCUAGAAUCCCUUACAGCCUAAGGUUCCUAGCAGUCGUGUUUCACGAUUCACAGAUCAAGUACUGGUGGUUCACUCUCUAAGCUUAGGGAUGAAUUAUAACAUGACCGGUUCUCUUCUUACCAGGAAGGGAGGCAUACGUUCCGUAGGUGAACCUGCGGAAGGAUCAUUACAGUAUAUUGAAUUCUUAUUCAUAUCAACCCACACUGUGUACCUUUUAUUUGUUGCUUCCAUGGGACAUGGCUCUGCCACGUCGGCCUCUGGGCUGGUGAGUUCCCAUGGAAGGAAACCCAAUACUCUUUUUAUUUUUGACAUCUGUCUGAAUAGUUUUUUAUAAACGUUAAAACUUUCAACAACGGAUCUCUUGGUUCUCGCAUCGAUGAAGAACGCAGC